Molecule: ribosomal RNA, 405 nt
Filed under: uncultured bacterium
Lineage: Bacteria
Description: partial 16S ribosomal RNA
Rfam family: Bacterial small subunit ribosomal RNA
Source: RNAcentral
AUUGAACGCUAGCGGGAUGCUUUACACAUGCAAGUCGAACGAGUGGCGGACGGGUGAGUAAUGUAUGGGGAUCUGCCCGACAGAGGGGGAUAACUACUGGAAACGGAGCUAAUACCGCAUACUAUCGGAUGAACCCAUAUGGGAUUAGCUAGUAGGUGAGGUAAUGGCUCACCUAGGCGACGAUCCCUAGCUGGUCUGAGAGGAUGAUCAGCCACACUGCGACUGAGACACGGCGCAGACUCCUACGGGAGGCAGCAGUGGGGAAUUUUGGGCAAUGGGGGAAACCCUGAUCCAGCCAUCCCGCGUGUAUGAUGAAGGCCUUCGGGUUGUAAAGUACUUUUGGCAGAGAAGCGGUAUCUGCAGAAUAAGCACCGGCUAACUACGUGCCAGCAGCCGCGGUAAUAC